AGAGUAAUGUCUGGGAAACUGCCUGAUGGAGGGGGAUAACUACUGGAAACGGUAGCUAAUACCGCAUAACGUCGCAAGACCAAAGUGGGGGACCUUCGGGCCUCAUGCCAUCAGAUGUGCCCAGAUGGGAUUAGCUAGUAGGUGAGGUAAUGGCUCACCUAGGCGACGAUCCCUAGCUGGUCUGAGAGGAUGACCAGCCACACUGGAACUGAGACACGGUCCAGACUCCUACGGGAGGCAGCAGUGGGGAAUAUUGCACAAUGGGCGCAAGCCUGGAUGCACCCAUGCCGCGUGUAUGAAGAAGGCCUUCGGGUUGUAAAGUACUUUCAGCGGGGAGGAAGGUGUUGAGGUUAAUAACCUCAGCAAUUGACGUUACCCGCAGAAGAAGCACCGGCUAACUCCGUGCCAGCAGCCGCGGUAAUACGGAGGGUGCAAGCGUUAAUCGGAAUUACUGGGCGUAAAGCGCACGCAGGCGGUCUGUCAAGUCGGAUGUGAAAUCCCCGGG
Molecule: ribosomal RNA, 505 nt
Filed under: uncultured bacterium
Lineage: Bacteria
Description: bacterial SSU rRNA
Rfam family: Bacterial small subunit ribosomal RNA
Source: RNAcentral